CCUACGGGAGGCAGCAGUGGGGAAUAUUGGGCAAUGGGCGCAAGCCUGACCCAGCAACGCCGCGUGAAGGAAGAAGGCUUUCGGGUUGUAAACUUCUUUUAAGAGGGAAGCGCAGAAGACGGUACCUCUUGAAUAAGCGACGGCUAACUACGUGACAGCAGCCGCGGUAAUUCGUAGGUGGCAAGCGUUGUCCGGAUUUACUGGGUGUAAAGGGCGUGUAGUCGGGCUGACAAGUCAGAUGUGAAAUCCCGUGGCUCAACCACGGAACUGCCUUUGAAACUGUCGGUCUUGAGUAUCGGAGAGGCAGGCGGAAUUCCUGGUGUAGCGGUGAAAUGCGUAGAUAUUAGGAGGAACACCAGUGGCGAAGGCGGCCUGCUGGACGACAACUGACGGUGAGGCGCGAAAGCGUGGGGAGCAAACAGGAUUAGAUACCCGAGUAGUC
This 442-nucleotide ribosomal RNA is filed under the name uncultured bacterium. RNAcentral's name for it is "partial 16S ribosomal RNA". It matches the Rfam family "Bacterial small subunit ribosomal RNA", at positions 338 to 795 of the family's 1533-position model. The record is from RNAcentral.